Molecule: long non-coding RNA, 18122 nt
Filed under: Lactuca sativa (garden lettuce)
Lineage: Eukaryota; Viridiplantae; Streptophyta; Magnoliopsida; Asterales; Asteraceae
Description: long non-coding RNA (LSAT_LNC003458)
Source: RNAcentral
GGUUCCCUGAGAAUACAAGUAUUUUGAAAAAACGUCAACAUAUGAAAUGUUGGUGAGUUCAUAAGUAGUGUUUGAAAUCGAAUGUUUAUAUUCUUUGAAAAACCACCAGAAAAUCCGAUAUUUUCUGAAAAGAAAAGCUUUCAAAAACGUUUGUGAAGAUCCAUAGGUAUGCUUGUUUGUUUCUAUACUUGUAAAAAAAUGUUCGUUGAAGAUGUAUGCGUUUCAAAUCUGUAUGUAAUGAAAACCCUAGGGAAACCCGAUGUUCCCCUAGUUCUUUUGAAAUCCCUUGAGUUGCGUUGAAAACAUUAUGAAAAUAGCAGUAUCGGUCCCAAGCGACGUUGGAAGGUUCUCGAGCAUUGAUUAUUUACUACAAACCCGCAUUACACAAACGCCCAGUUUGUAGUUAUACUAACGAACCCGAAGGCGUCGUCUGUACUAAUCACGUUAUCCAAUCGCCCGGACUAUGUGUAGUCCCACAUCCGAAGAGAAAGAGGUCACGAAGACCCCGGUAACUCUAUUAACCGGCUGGGGAAAAUAUGCGUGCGAGGGGUCCCCGACCCGCCUCGUAAAAUGUGUAGACUUUUCUAGCAAUACCAUGGACCCUUGGGGACCAGUGGUACAAGCCAUUGAAAGUCACCCUACGUUGUGCCAAGUCGGUAAAACUCAACACUUCGUAGAAAAAAAAUGUCUUCGGGCCUUAAGAUCAGGUCAUUGGGCUAGCUAGGCCCAACAAACAAGAUUUUACACUUUUGGGGCCCGAAGAUGGUGCGUAGACGUCUGUGCACACUCGUAUGUAUAUGUAUUACCAAUCGUUAUUUGUAUGUAUCAAAGAGUUAGUAGUUGUAGAUUUCCAUUGGCUCGAGACCGAGCCAAUUCGUUUAGCAACGACUUUUGGUAUUGUAAUGAGUUGUAUUUCGUUGAUAGUCGAGGUGUCAUUAUUUGAUCAAAUUGUACACAUUGAAUCAGCCUUGAAAUAUUUCUGUUUUCAGCCCCUCAUUAUUUGUAAAAUUUACAUUUUCAACCCUUUUAUUUAAAUAUUUCCCGGUUUGGUCCUUAAACUAUUUUUCUUGACAUUUUAACACCAAAAAUUAUUGAAAUUAAUAUUUUCCAGCAUAUUUUUCAAAGAAAACAGUUUAAGUCCCUGAAAAUGCAGUUUUUCUCGGUUUUAGCCCAUCUUUUCGCAAUUUUGACAAUUUUGGCCCAAAAUGGAAAAUUUUUGCAACUUUGGUCCUUUUUAAAUUUAAAAAGCAUUUUAAACCUUUGAAAAGGGUUUGGGACACUUAUAGUCCACUGUUUUACAGAAAUUCACAGUUUUGGCCCUUCAAAACAGAAAAAUUCGCAUAAUGGGCCUUAUUGGGCCGAAAUUUUCAUUUUUAGCCCAAUAGGCUUGAAAUUUAUGUUUUUAAUCCACCAAUUGAAUAGAAUUCCAGAAAUAGUUUUAUGAAAACUGUUUUGGCACAUUCCAACCAUCAGAAUCUGUAAAAUGUCAAUUUGGGCCCUUAAUUUUGUAUUUUUCACAUUUUUGGCCCAAAAUGUGUGUUUUUAGCUUAAAGAAAAUUGUUGCUAACCACUUGGCUAUUUAUCUAGUAUCACUUAUUAUGUAGGAACAUAUUUGAAGCUAAUAUCAUAAAACAUGAGUUAUAUCUCGGUUUUGAGGGGUUUAAUGGCUAGAUCCAACAUUAAAACACAUAUAAGCAUACAUAUAAGCAUGGAAAUCAUACAAGGCAUACAAAUACAUAUAGAUCUACACUUUCACUUGUAUUCCCCCCCACAAAAACUCUUAAAAACAGAAAAUAGGGGUAUGAAUCUCACCUUGAGUGGGUAGUUUCGGUUCUUGAAGAAAAAUUGGAAGAAAUGAAGUGAUUUUUGGCCCUUGCACUCCUUGAUGAACUUUUCGAGAUUAUGGGGUUUCUAGAGUGCAAGAUCACGGUUUUUACAUGGAUUAGGAAGAGAUUUUGAUAAUAAAAGAAUUUAAACCAUAGAUCUAUGCAUAAUCUUACCUUAGAUGAUGAUUUACUUGCAAAAUCCUCUUGGAAAGUCCCUAAAUUUCGAGAUUUUUGGAGAGGGGAGGGAAGGAGAGUUCUUUGAGUGUUCUAGAGAGAAAGUUGAGAUAUUUUGGUGUGUGUGAUGAUGCUUGGCCGAGAGCAAGAAGAGAAGAGAGAAAGAAGUGACUCUUGAAGUGAUACAUGCAUGGAGGUAUGUGAUAUAUGCCUAGAAAUCCAUUAGGUAAUAGUGAGGUGGCAACACUAGUCAAUUCCCCUUGGAUUUGGGCCUUGGGCCGAGAAUAUGAAGGGAAAGAGGAAAAAUUUGGGCUUUUGCCCCCAAGCCCAACAUUAGAGGUAGUUUAGGGUAUUUAUUGGACUUAUAAAAUAAAAUUGUGAUUUUUGUGCUUUAUUAAGCUAGGUUAGGUUUAAUUAUGGAUCAAAACUUGUGUUUUAUUUCCUUCUAGGUUCUACCUAGCCCAAAAUAUUGAAAUAAACGAAUGUGGGUCCAAUUAGAGCCCAAUUAGGGUCCUAAACCCAUGAUAGUCCAAUUGGAAGCUUAUUGGUCCAUUUGGAUCCAAUAAGGAAGUCUUAGUCCAAAAUGGACUUAACCAAAACUUCUAGGGUCUCCAAUUGUUUGAUGACUAUCUAUAGUACUUGUAUCUUGUAUUUGGUUAAAGUUUUUGAUUCACAUUAACUUGAAUGUAUAGAUUACAUAGCUUAAAAUUCACAGUGGUGACAUCAUCCCCCCGUUAAAGGGAAUUUCGUCCCGAAAUUCUGUUUGAAAGCUAGAUUUGAGAAAACUAGAAUAGGUGAGGGUACUUCUGCUUCAUUUGAUCUUCGCGUUCCCACGUGAAUUCUGGCCCACGCUUUGCGUUCCACCGUACCUUCACGAUCGGGAUGCGACUCUGCUUAGUACGCUUCACCUCCCUGUCCAUGAUUUCGAUUGGUUCUUCGACGAACAGGAGAUUCUCAUUGAUUUCGAUUUCGUCAAGAGGAAUGAUAAGAGUUUCAUCUGAUAGGCACUUUUUCAGAUUAGAAACAUGAAACACGGGGUGCACACCGUUUAGCUCCGGGGGUAGUUGUAGUCUGUAGGCUACCGGACCUAUUCGGGCGACGAUUUCGAAAGGUCCAAUGUACCGUGGGUUUAGCUUUCCUCGUUUUCCGAAACGUAUAACCCCUUUCCAGGGUGAGACCUUCAACAAUACUCGAUCACCGACCUGGAACUCUAAGGGCUUUCGCCGUUUAUCAGCGUAGCUCUUUUGCCGGUCACGCGAUGCCUGUAAUCGAGCUUUGAUCUGGACAAUCUUUUCUGUGGUCUCGCGAAUGAUUUCCGGUCCUGUCAUUGCCCUAUCCGACGUAUGUGUUCUUGCUAGCUGGGUGUCACCUACUUCAGCCCAACAUAACGGUGAUCUACAUUUACGCCCGUACAGUGCUUCGAAAGGGGCCACCUUAAUGCUCGAAUGAUAACUAUUGUUAUAUGAAAACUCGAUCAACGGUAGGUGGGUAUCCCAAGACUUUCCGAAGUCUAUCACACAUGCACGAAGCAUGUCUUCAAGCGUCUGAAUGGUUCGUUCGCUUUGACCGUCCGUUUGUGGGUGAUACGCGGUGCUCAUAUCAAGAUGAGUUCCCAUUGCCUUGUGGAGCGACUGCCAAAAGCGUGACGUGAACCUACUGUCCCUAUCCGAGAUGAUAGAUUUUGGCACUCCAUGAAGUCUUACAAUCUCUCGUAGGUACAAACGCGUCAGCCUCUCCAUCUUGUAGGACUCUUUGAUUGGCAGGAAAUGGGCAGAUUUCGUCAGUCGGUCGAUUAUUACCCAUAUGGUGUCCAAUCCGUCCGACGUCUUGGGCAGCUUGGUCACGAAGUCCAUAGAAAUCCCCUCCCAUUUCCACUCAGGGAUUGCCGGUUGCUGUAACAAUCCGGAAGGUUUCUGGUAUUCCACUUUUACUUUGGCACACGUAAGGCACUUACUAACAUAAGUUGCGAUUUCCGCCUUCAUGUUAGGCCACCAAUAGUGCUGCUUAAUGUCCAAAUACAUCUUGUCCGAACCAGGAUGAAUGGAGUAUCGUGUCUUGUGGGCUUCCUUCAUAACGGUCUCCCUGAAUCCUCCGAUUUUUGGAACCCAAAUACGGUUCAUGAAGUAGUAUACCCCAUUCUCUUUGACUUCCAGGUUCUUCUCCAUUCCGCGUAAUGCCUCGCUAGUUCUAUUUUCCGCUUUCAUAGCCUCUGCCUGGACUGAUGCAAUUUGAGUGGUCAGAUGAGACUGAAUGGUUAUCGAGUGCGUUUUCGUACGGCGAUUUGUGUAUUCCUUCCGACUUAAUGCGUCAGCUACCACGUUGGCCUUGCCUGGAUGGUACUUGAUCUCGCAUUCGUAGUCGUUUAACAAUUCCACCCAUCUUCGUUGUCUCAUGUUCAGCUCCUUCUGAUUCAAGAUGUGCUGGAGGCUCUUGUGGUCCGUAAAGAUGGUGCACUUUGUACCGUACAGGUAGUGCCUCCAAAUUUUUAGAGCGAAGACCACAGCUCCCAGUUCUAGGUCAUGGGUUGUGUAAUUUACUUCGUGCGCCUUUAGUUGACGGGACGCAUAUGCUAUCACUCUUCCACGUUGCAUGAGAACGCAACCUAAGCCUUGAUUUGACGCGUCACAGUAAACUACAAAAUCUUCCGUUCCUUCAGGUAGAGAUAGUACAGGAGCGCUGCAAAGAGCUUGCUUCAAGGUUCGAAACGCAAUCUCUUGUCGGUCUGUCCACUUGAAUGGCACGCUCUUUUGCGUAAGCAAGGUAAGUGGCUUGGCGAUUUUUGAGAAGUUUUGGAUGAAUCUCCUAUAGUAGCCUGCUAGGCCUAAGAACUGACGAAUUUCUGUGGGCGUAGUCGGAGUUGCCCAUCCUUCCACAGCUUUGACCUUAGAGGGAUCCACAUGAAUUCCAUCUUGGCUAACUACGUGACCUAGAAAAUUCACGCUCCGUAGCCAAAACUCACACUUAGAGAGUUUGGCGUAAAGCCUUUCCGAUCGCAGCGUCUCUAGGACUUGUCGGAGAUGUUGGCCAUGCUCCUCUUUGCUUCGAGAAUAGACGAGGAUGUCAUCGAUAAACACAAUGACGAAGUUGUCCAAGAACGGUCGACAGAUUCGGUUCAUUAGGUCCAUAAAUGCGGCAGGUGCAUUUGUUAGACCGAAGGGCAUUACGACGAAUUCAUAAUGUCCAUAGCGGGUUCGGAAAGCGGUUUUAGGAAUAUCUUCUUCUCGGACCUUGAGUUGAUGGUAUCCGGACCGUAGAUCUAUUUUAGAAAAAUAGCUAGCUCCUUGGAGCUGGUCGAAUAGAUCAUCGAUUCGCGGGAGUGGGUAGCGGUUUUUAACAGUGAGUUUAUUCAACUCUCUGUAAUCGAUGCACAUUCUGAAAGAUCCAUCCUUCUUUUUGACAAAGAGCACCGGAGCUCCCCAUGGCGAGUAGCUAGGUCGGAUAAAUCCCUUGUCCAGAAGCUCACUGAGUUGGCUGGACAAUUCCUGCAUUUCAGCAGGUGCCAACCGAUAUGGUGAUUUAGCGAGAGGAGUUGCUCCUGGAACGAGGUCGAUUCGGAACUCAACCUGUCUCUCUGGGGGUACUCCUGGAAGAUCUUCGGGAAACACGUCCGGAAAUUCACACGCUACCGGAAUGUCUUGGAUGUUAGUUUCUUCUUUGGUCUUGUCCACUAUGUGGGCCAAGAACGCUAAGUUGUUCUUUCGCAGAUGUUUUUGUGCUUUGAUGCACGAGAUAAGACGAAGAUUCGUGCUAGGUUUGUCUCCGUAAAUUACUAGGGUUUCGUGAUUCGGGAGACGAAGGCGAACGGCCUUCUCGUGGCACAUAAUCUCAGCAUGGUGGGGGCUUAACCAAUCCAUGCCGAUAAUCACAUCGAAACUCCUAAUUGAUACUGGCAUUAGGUCUAUUCGAAAGACGUGCUGGUUAAGGGUUAGGGUACAUCCGAUGUAGAUCUCCCUAGUGGAUUCGGUUUUCCCAUUGGCCAUUUCCACCGUAUAGGUUUCAUUUAGCUUCUGGGGUUGUUGUUUUAGUAAAUGUUUAAACUUCUCGCUUACGAAACUUCGCUCCGCUCCGGUAUCAAAUAAGAUGCAUGCAUAAGUGUGGUUUAGGAGAAACGUACCGGUCACAACUGCGGGGUCCUGAACUGCAUCACUCUGACCCAUAGUCAGCAUUCUUCCUGCUCCUCUGUUUCCUGAGUUGUUGUUGUUAGGGCAAUCUCGACGGAAAUGUCCCGUCCUUCCACACCCGAAACAGGUGUGGCUAGGCCCUGCGUUGUUGCCGCCGGCAUUGGUGUUGUUGGUGUUGCGGUGGUUGUUGUUGUUGUUCUGGUUGUUUCCCUGACUCUGGUUCUGAGAAGGAUAAGUCCUGCAGAACUUUGCAGUGUGUCCCCUUCGGUUGCAACUGGUGCAAUGGAACUCCCUACAUUCUCCUUGGUGAUGGAAACCGCACUUGUUGCAUUUGGGAUGAGUGCCGGAAUAGGGUCUUGAAGUAUUUGAAGUAGCUGAGGCUGGAGCAUGUGAUGUGACUGGUACCGGCGCAGUGACAGCGUGAACUGCCACCGUUUGCUGCUUUUUAGAGGUCUCGGGACCUUGACGCCCCUUCCUCUUGUUGUUCCAUCCUUUCUUACCAUCGCUCUCCUUCUUCUUCUCAGUCUCUACCGGUUUCUCGCCCUUUUUGUGGUUAUGAUCAUAGAGCCUCUUUGCCAAUCUCUUCGCGCUGUCAAACGUUUCAGGGUUAGCAGCUAUCACGUUCCCUUGAAUGGGGGAUGUCAGUCCCCAAAUGAAUCGUUCAAUCUUCUUCCCCUCUGAUGUGAUCAUACCCGGGCACAACAGAGAUAGUUCGCUGAAUCUCGAUAUGUAAGCAUCGAUGUUCCCAUUCUGCACCGUGAGAUUCCAUAGUUCCUGCUCCAUCUUCUGUAUUUCGCCUCGGGGGCAGUACUCAGCCGUCAACAUCUCUUUCAUCUCUGCCCAGGGAAUAGAGUUGGCGACAGGGAGUGUCAUAGCUUCCACAUGACCAUUCCACCAAGUGAGUGCUUGGUCCACAAAAGUGCAGGCCGCGAACUUCACUUUCAUCUGCUCGGGGCACUCGCAUAUCUCGAAUACCGACUCUACCUUCUCGAUCCAUCGCUUUAGGGCGAUCACUCCUCCGGUACCGUUGAAAGUUCGGGGUUUAGCGUUCGCAAAAUCCUUGUAGGUGCACGUUUUAGUGAGUCCUUGGUUCGUCCCGUUGUUCGAACUUCCGGAUCCUUGCCCGUUACCUCCUCCGUUGUUCCCUCGGUGAAGUUGUGCCAUAGCCGCUGUGACCGCAGCAGACACGGCUGCCUGGAAAGCAGUGGAGUCAACUUCCGGCGGGGUUGGUUCGGGAUUUCCGCGAGUAGCUGGGCGAGGCAUCUUUCUGUCAUGAAACGGAAAGAUGUUGAGUGUACGUGGUUUCGGUGAGGUUAUGAUCCUACUAACUAGGUGUAGGGUACGAACCUAAGCAUUACUAUCAUCAAGCAUACAAUCAUAACACCUCAACACAUAACAACUGAGAAUAUCAUAGCAAAACACACAAAAGUUUAUUAAUAUUAUCCGUGUUUAGUACAAGAAAAUUUGCUCGUAGGAGCAUACAUAAGUAACACUAAUCCGACAGCAUAACGGCUCCAUGAGUAGUGUAGUCACUUAAACAUAGAGCCGGAGUACAUAACAUAGUUACUAAUAUCCUACUACGAUAGGUCUAUCCCUAACCGCGAUGAGCUGCGUCAGGAGGUGGUGCCGAAGUCAUAUGCCGAAAUGUUGCGCCAGUAGCUGCGCCAUCUCUGCCAUGUCUCCUAUAACUUCAUCCCUCUCGUGCUCUGCUCUCACUGCCCGAGCUUCCAUAGCAUACAGCUGUUGUCGCAGUGCGGCGAUCUCAGCUUCGAGGGAACGGUUCUCCCUUGGGGGGUUCACUGGUGGAGCGGGGUGAUCUGGUUGUGCCUCGUCCUCGCAUGGUGGGAUGGGGUCCUGGCCCCCGACCUGACCCUCCUCGUCGUCAUCGUCGACCUCUCCAAAUUCGUAGUCGGUGUCUAUAUAUUCGUCGGGUUCGACGUCGUGUGCUUCUCCUGGAUGCUCUCCCGGCUCAUCCACCAGCAUCCCGUGAGCUACUAAGGCCUGAUGAAACUGGAUACCCGGCUGCUCCUCCUCAGGCUCCUCCUCCUCCUCUAGCCACCCGUUGUUUCCCUGAUUAGGGAAGUAGGGGUCUCCAGGGUGAUGAAAACCAGCCAUGCUGUCUGCGCGAGUACGUAAUUAUGCUACAUUAUUCCUAGGGUACUAUGACUAUUACACAGACUAAGCAAAUAUUCUCUUUUUGGGUGAUAUAGGGUAAAAUUUUUAGGUUCCCUGGCUAUUCCGAUCUCAUCAAGACAUGUGUUAGUUUUACCUUGGAGAGAAUGUAGUUGAUCAGGCUACAUUCACUCCUUGGUAUCACUAAGAACAGUCCCGAAUUAACCGAGAUACCAGUAUUAUGGUGUUUGAUUCAGCGUUAGGUCCUUACUCCUAAUGCAAGCAAGUGUAUUUUAUUCAUUUGUUUUGUUCAGAGUUAUGUUAGUCCCUCUUUUUGGUUUAUAGUUGCAUAUCAAUGUAUGGCUCGACAUGCUAGUUCACUAUAAACAAAGCUCUGAUACCAACCUGUCACACCCCCGAACCAGACGGCGGAAACGUCCGGGGGCUGUCGUGACUCAAUUGAAUACCAUAACAUUGAAUAUAUAUGAAACAAAACAACAUUCGUCACCAUUCAUCAACAUAGUACAACCAGUAGUGUUUACAUGUCAUACAUUGUUUAAGACAUUACAUUUCCAAAAAUUAAUGUUGUUUGGUUCAUUCAAAAAUAAACUGCAACCGUCACUGAGUAUGAUUUCCCUUGAUUCACUGGUUCCCUGAGAAUACAAGUAUUUUGAAAAACGUCAACAUAUGAAAUGUUGGUGAGUUCAUAAGUAGUGUUUGAAAUCGAAUGUUUGUAUUGUUUGAAAAACCACCAGAAAAUCCGAUAUUUUCUGAAAAGAAAAGCUUUUGAAAACGUUUGUGAAGAUCCAUAGGUAUGCUUGUUUGUUUCUAUACUUGUAAAAAAAAAUUUCAUUGAAGAUGUAUGCAUUUCAAAUCUGUAUGUAUUGAAAACCCUAGGAAAACCCGAUGUUCUCCUAGUUCCUUGAAUUACAUGAAGUUACAUUGAAACCAUUGCAUAGCGUAUAGUGUCAGUCACAGGCGACGUUGGAAGGUUCUCGAGCAGGAUUAUUUACUACAAACCCGCGUUACACAAACGCCCAGUUUAUAGUUAUACUAACGAACCCGAAGGCGUCGUCAGUACUAAUCGCGUUAUCCAAUCGCCCUGACUAGGUGUAGUCCCACAUCCGAAGAGAAAGAGGUCACGAAGACCCCGGUGACUCCAUUAACCGGUUGGGGAUAAAAUGUACGAGGGGUCCCAGACCCGCCUCGCAAAAAGGCAGACUCCACUGGCGACACUAAAGGACCCUUGGGGACCAGUAGUCUACAGCCAUUGAAAGUCCGGUUACGUCGUGUCGGAUUGGUAAAACCCAACACUUCGUAAGAUAGAGGUCUUCGGGCCUUAAGAUCAGGUCAUUGGGCUAGCUAGGCUCAACGAACAAGAUUUUACACUUUUGGGGCCCAAAGAUGGUGCGUAGACGUCUGUGCACACUCGUAUGUAUAGUGAAUUCCAAAUCGUUAGUUGUAUGAAUCGUAGUGUCGUAGUGUCAUAGCGUCAUAGGGUCGUAGUGUCAUAGUGUCGUAGUGUUAGUAGUUUCGGAUUUUAUUGGUUCGAGACCGAACCAAUUCGUUUAACAACGACUUUUGGUAUUGUAGUGUAUUGUAUUUCGUCGAUAGCCGCGAUGCCAUUAUUUAAUCAAAUUGUGUAUAUUGAAUUAGCCUUGAAAUAUUCCUGUUUUCAGCCCCUCAUUAUUUGUAAAAUUUACAUUUUCAACCCUUUUUAUUAAAUACUUCCCGGUUUGGUCCUUAAACUAUUUUUCUUGACAUUUUAACACCAAAAAUUAUUGAAAUUAAUAUUUUUCAGCAUAUUUUUCAUAGAAAACAGUUUAAGUCCCUGAAAAUGCAAUUUUUCCGGUUUUAGCCCCUUCUUUUCGCAACUUUGACAAUUUUGGCCCAAAUUGUGAAACUUUUGCAACUUUGGUCCUUUUUAAAUUUGGAAAGCAUUUUAAACCUUUGAAAAGGAUUUGGAACACUUAUAGUCCACUGUUUUACAGAAAAUUACAGUUUUGGCCCUCCAAAACAGAAAAAUUCGCAUAAUGGGCCUCAUUGGGCCGAAAUUUUCAUUUUUAGCCCAUUAAGCUUGAAAUUUAUGUUUUUAAUCCUCUAAUUGAGUAUAAUUCCAGAAAUAGUUUUAUGGAAACUGUUUUGGCACACUUCAUCCAUCAGAAUCUGUGAAAUGUCAAUUUGGGCCCUUAAUUUUGUAUUUUUCACAUUUUUGGCCCAAAAUUUGUGUUUUUAGCUUAAAGAAAAUUGUUACUAAACCAUUUAGCUAUCUUUCUUGAAACACUUUGUAUGUAGAAAUACAUUUCAUGCUAAAAUCAUAUAACAUAAGUUAUAUCUCGGUUUUGAGGAGUUUUAUGGCUAGAUCCAACAUUAAAACACAUAAAAGCAUACAUAUAAGCAUGGAAAUCAUACAAGGCAUAUAAACACAUAUAGAUCUACACUUUCACUUGUAUUCCCCCCCCCCAAAAAAAAAACUCAUAAAAACAGAAAAUAGGGGGUAUGAAGCUCACCUUGGGUGUGGAUUCGGUUUUUGAAGAAAGAUUGGAAGAAAUGAAGUGAUUUUUGGCCUUUGCACUCCUUGAUGAACUUUUCGAGAUUAUGGGGUUUCUAGAGUGCAAGAUCAUGAUUUUUGCAUGGAUUAGGAAGAGAUUUUUGAUAAAUAAGGAAUACAAGUCAUAGAUCCAAGCAAAACCUUACCUUAGAUGAUGAUUUUGUGGAAGAACUUCCUUGAAUGCUUCCUAAUUUUCGAGAUUUUGGAUGGAGAAGAGGAAGAAGUCUUGAGUGAAUUUUAGAGAGAGUUUGUGAGUGUUUUGUGUGUGUGUGGUGUUGCUCUCGGCCGAGUUCAAGAAGAGAGAGGGAGAUGUAGACAUGAAGUGAUGUGCAUGGAUACAUGGAAUGGAUUUGCAUGGAGAUCCACAAGACAAUAAGGAGGUGGCACACUAAGGUCAACCCUCUUCUUGGGCUUGAGCUUUUGGGCCGAGAAUAAUGGAGGAAAUGAGGGUGUUUGGGCCUUAAAUACUUAAGCCCAAUUCUCAUGGUUAAGUUGAGUGAUUUUUGGUCCAAUUAAAUUUAAAUGUGAUUUUUAUGACUUGUUAGGGUCAAAUUAGGUUAAUUAUGGUUCAUAGUCAUUAAUUUAUUUCAUUCUAGGUCCAACAUGGCUCACAAUAUUGAAAUAAAUAGAUGUGAGUCCAAUUAGAGCCCAAUUAGGGUUCUAAGCCCAUGAUAGUCCAAUUGGAAGCUUAUUGGUCCACUUGGAUCCAAUAAGGAAGUUCUAGUCCAAAAUAGACUUAACAAGAACUUCUAGGGUUUUCCAAUUGUUUGAUGACUACUUGUAGUACUUGUAUAAUGUAUUUGAUUGAAGUUUUUGAUUCACAUUAACUUGAAUGUUUAGAUUACAUGACACAAAAUUUCCAGUUGUGACAUAAUCCCCCCGUUAGAGGGAAUUUCGUCCCGAAAUUCUGUUUGAAAGCUAGAUUUGAGAAUGCUAGAAUAGGUGAGGGUACUUCUGCUUCAUUUGAUCUUCGCGUUCCCACGUGAAUUCUGGCCCACGCUUUGCGUUCCACCGUACCUUCACGAUCGGGAUGCGGCUCUGCUUAGUACGCUUCACCUCCCUGUCCAUGAUUUCGAUUGGUUCUUCGACGAACAGGAGAUUCUCAUUGAUUUCGAUUUCGUCAAGAGGAAUGACAAGGGUUUCAUCUGAUAGGCACUUUUUCAGAUUAGAGACAUGAAACACGGGGUGUACACCGUUUAGCUCCGCGGGUAGUUGUAGUCUGUAUGCUACUGGACCUAUUCGGGCGACGAUUUCGAAAGGUCCAAUGUAUCGCGGGUUCAGCUUUCCCCGUUUUCCGAAACGUAUAACCCCUUUCCAGGGUGAGACCUUCAACAAUACUCGAUCACCGACCUGGAAUUCUAAGGGCUUUCGCCGUUUAUCAGCGUAGCUCUUUUGCCGGUCACGCGAUGCUUGUAAUCGAGCUUUGAUCUGGACAAUCUUUUCUGUGGUCUCGCGAAUGAUUUCCGGUCCUGUUAAUGCCCUGUUUGACGUAUGUGUUCUUGCUAGCUGGGUGUCACCUACUUCAGCCCAACAUAACGGUGAUCUACAUUUACGCCCGUACAGUGCUUCGAAAGGGGCCACCUUGAUGCUCGAAUGAUAACUAUUGUUAUAUGAAAACUCGAUCAACGGUAGGUGGGUAUCCCAAGACUUUCCGAAGUCUAUCACACAUGCACGAAGCAUGUCUUCAAGCGUCUGAAUGGUUCGUUCGCUUUGACCGUCCGUUUGUGGGUGAUACGCGGUGCUCAUAUCAAGAUGAGUUCCCAUGGCCUUGUGGAGCGACUGCCAAAAGCGUGACGUGAACCUACUGUCCCUAUCCGAGAUGAUAGAUUUUGGCACUCCAUGAAGUCUUACAAUCUCUCGUAGGUACAAACGCGUCAGCCUCUCCAUCUUGUAGGACUCUUUGAUUGGCAGGAAAUGGGCAGAUUUCGUCAGUCGGUCGAUUAUUACCCAUAUGGUGUCCAAUCCGUCCGACGUCUUGGGCAGCUUGGUCACGAAGUCCAUAGAAAUCCCCUCCCAUUUCCACUCAGGGAUUGCCGGUUGCUGUAACAAUCCGGAAGGUUUCUGGUAUUCCACUUUUACUUUGGCACACGUAAGGCACUUACUAACAUAAGUUGCGAUUUCCGCCUUCAUGUUAGGCCACCAAUAGUGCUGCUUAAUGUCCAAAUACAUCUUGUCCGAACCAGGAUGAAUGGAGUAUCGUGUCUUGUGGGCUUCCUUCAUAACGGUCUCCCUGAAUCCUCCGAUUUUUGGAACCCAAAUACGGUUCAUGAAGUAGUAUACCCCAUUCUCUUUGACUUCCAGGUUCUUCUCCAUUCCGCGUAAUGCCUCGCUAGUUCUAUUUUCCGCUUUCAUAGCCUCUGCCUGGACUGAUGCAAUUUGAGUGGUCAGAUGAGACUGAAUGGUUAUCGAGUGCGUUUUCGUACGGCGAUUUGUGUAUUCCUUCCGACUUAAUGCGUCAGCUACCACGUUGGCCUUGCCUGGAUGGUACUUGAUCUCGCAUUCGUAGUCGUUUAACAAUUCCACCCAUCUUCGUUGUCUCAUGUUCAGCUCCUUCUGAUUCAAGAUGUGCUGGAGGCUCUUGUGGUCCGUAAAGAUGGUGCACUUUGUACCGUACAGGUAGUGCCUCCAAAUUUUUAGAGCGAAGACCACAGCUCCCAGUUCUAGGUCAUGGGUUGUGUAAUUUACUUCGUGCGCCUUUAGUUGACGGGACGCAUAUGCUAUCACUCUUCCACGUUGCAUGAGAACGCAACCUAAGCCUUGAUUUGACGCGUCACAGUAAACUACAAAAUCUUCCGUUCCUUCAGGUAGAGAUAGUACAGGAGCGCUGCAAAGAGCUUGCUUCAAGGUUCGAAACGCAAUCUCUUGUCGGUCUGUCCACUUGAAUGGCACACUCUUUUGCGUAAGCAAGGUAAGUGGCUUGGCGAUUUUUGAGAAGUUUUGGAUGAAUCUCCUAUAGUAGCCUGCUAGGCCUAAGAACUGACGAAUUUCUGUGGGCGUAGUCGGAGUUGCCCAUCCUUCCACAGCUUUGACCUUAGAGGGAUCCACAUGAAUUCCAUCUUGGCUAACUACGUGACCUAGAAAAUUCACGCUCCGUAGCCAAAACUCACACUUAGAGAGUUUGGCGUAAAGCCUUUCCGAUCGCAGCGUUUCUAGGACUUGUCGGAGAUGUUGGCCAUGCUCCUCUUUGCUUCGAGAAUAGACGAGGAUGUCAUCGAUAAACACAAUGACGAAGUUGUCCAAGAACGGUCGACAGAUUCGGUUCAUUAGGUCCAUAAAUGCGGCAGGUGCAUUUGUUAGACCGAAGGGCAUUACGACGAAUUCAUAAUGUCCAUAGCGGGUUCGGAAAGCGGUUUUAGGAAUAUCUUCUUCUCGGACCUUGAGUUGAUGGUAUCCGGACCGUAGAUCUAUUUUAGAAAAAUAGCUAGCUCCUUGGAGCUGGUCGAAUAGAUCAUCGAUUCGCGGGAGUGGGUAGCGGUUUUUAACAGUGAGUUUAUUCAACUCUCUGUAAUCGAUGCACAUUCUGAAAGAUCCAUCCUUCUUUUUGACAAAGAGCACCGGAGCUCCCCAUGGCGAGUAGCUAGGUCGGAUAAAUCCCUUGUCCAGAAGCUCACUGAGUUGGCUGGAUAAUUCCUGCAUUUCAGCAGGUGCCAACCGAUAUGGUGAUUUAGCGAGGGGAGUUGCUCCUGGAACGAGGUCGAUUCGGAAUUCAACCUGUCUCUCUGGGGGUACUCCUGGAAGAUCUUCGGGAAACACGUCCGGAAAUUCACACGCUACCGGAAUGUCUUGGAUGUUAGUUUCUUCUUUGGUCUUGUCCACUAUGUGGGCCAAGAACGCUAAGUUGUUCUUUCGCAGAUGUUUUUGUGCUUUGAUGCACGAGAUAAGACGAAGAUUCGUGCUAGGUUUGUCUCCGUAAAUUACUAGGGUUUCGUGAUUCGGGAGACGAAGGCGAACGGCCUUCUCGUGGCACAUAAUCUCAGCAUGGUGGGGGCUUAACCAAUCCAUGCCGAUAAUCACAUCGAAACUCCUAAUUGAUACUGGCAUUAGGUCUAUUCGAAAGACGUGCUGGUUAAGGGUUAGGGUACAUCCGAUGUAGAUCUCCCUAGUGGAUUCGGUUUUCCCAUUGGCCAUUUCCACCGUAUAGGUUUCAUUUAGCUUCUGGGGUUGUUGUUUUAGUAAAUGUUUAAACUUCUCGCUUACGAAACUUCGCUCCGCUCCGGUAUCAAAUAAGAUGCAUGCAUAAGUGUGGUUUAGGAGAAACGUACCGGUCACAACUGCGGGAUCCUGAACUGCAUCACUCUGACCCAUAGUCAGCAUUCUUCCUGUUCCUCUGUUUCCGGAGUUGUUGUUGUUGUUAGGGCAAUCUCGACGGAAAUGUCCCGUCCUUCCACACCCGAAACAGGUGUGGCUAGGCCCUGCGUUGUUGCCGCCGGCAUUGGUGUUGUUGGUGUUGCGGUGAUUGUUGUUGUUGUUCUGGUUGUUUCCCUGACUCUGGUUCUGAGAAGGAUAAGUCCUGCAGAACUUUGCAGUGUGUCCCCUUCGAUUGCAACUGGUGCAAUGGAACUCCCUACAUUCUCCUUGGUGAUGGAAACCGCACUUGUUGCAUUUGGGAUGAGUGCCGGAAUAGGGUCUUGAAGUAUUUGAAGUAGCUGAGGCUGGAGCAUGUGAUGUGACUGGUACCGGCGCAGUGACAGCGUGAACUGCCACCGUUUGCUGCUUUUUAGAGGUCUCGGGACCUUGACGCCCCUUCCUCUUGUUGUUCCAUCCUUUCUUACCAUCGCUCUCCUUCUUCUUCUCAGUCUCUACCGGUUUCUCGCCCUUUUUGUGGUUAUGAUCAUAUAGCCUCUUUGCCAAUCUCUUCGCGCUGUCAAACGUUUCAGGGUUCGCAGCUAUCACAUUCCCUUGAAUGGGGGAUGUCAGUCCCCAAAUGAAUCGUUCAAUCUUCUUCCCCUCUGAUGUGAUCAUACCCGGGCACAACAGAGAUAGUUCGCUGAAUCUCGAUAUGUAAGCAUCGAUGUUCCCAUUCUGCACCGUGAGAUUCCAUAGUUCCUGCUCCAUCUUCUGUAUUUCGCCUCGGGGGCAGUACUCAGCCGUCAACAUCUCUUUCAUCUCUGCCCAGGGAAUAGAGUUGGCGACAGGGAGUGUCAUAGCUUCCACAUGACCAUUCCACCAAGUGAGUGCUUGGUCCACAAAAGUGCAGGCCGCGAACUUCACUUUCAUCUGCUCGGGGCACUCGCAUAUCUCGAAUACCGACUCUACCUUCUCGAUCCAUCGCUUUAGGGCGAUCACUCCUCCGGUACCGUUGAAAGUUCGGGGUUUAGCGUUCGCAAAAUCCUUGUAGGUGCACGUUUUAGUGAGUCCUUGGUUCGUCCCGUUGUUCGAACUUCCGGAUCCUUGCCCGUUACCUCCUCCGUUGUUCCCUCGGUGAAGUUGUGCCAUAGCCGCUGUGACCGCAGCAGACACGGCUGCCUGGAAAGCAGUGGAGUCAACUUCCGGCGGGGUUGGUUCGGGAUUUCCGCGAGUAGCUGGGCGAGGCAUCUUUCUGUCAUGAAACGGAAAGAUGUUGAGUGUACGUGGUUUCGGUGAGGUUAUGAUCCUACUAACUAGGUGUAGGGUACGAACCUAAGCAUUACUAUCAUCAAGCAUACAAUCAUAACACCUCAACACAUAACAACUGAGAAUAUCAUAGCAAAACACACAAAAGUUUAUUAAUAUUAUCCGUGUUUAGUACAAGAAAAUUUGCUCGUAGGAGCAUACAUAAGUAACACUAAUCCGACAGCAUAACGGCUCCAUGAGUAGUGUAGUCACUUAAACAUAGAGCCGGAGUACAUAACAUAGUUACUAAUAUCCUACUACGAUAGGUCUAUCCCUAACCGCGAUGAGCUGCGUCAGGAGGUGGUGCCGAAGUCAUAUGCCGAAAUGUUGCGCCAGUAGCUGCGCCAUCUCUGCCAUGUCUCCUAUAACUUCAUCCCUCUCGUGCUCUGCUCUCACUGCCCGAGCUUCCAUAGCAUACAGCUGUUGUCGCAGUGCGGCGAUCUCAGCUUCGAGGGAACGGUUCUCCCUUGGGGGGUUCACUGGUGGAGCGGGGUGAUCUGGUUGUGCCUCGUCCUCGCAUGGUGGGAUGGGGUCCUGGCCCCCGACCUGACCCUCCUCGUCGUCAUCGUCGACCUCUCCAAAUUCGUAGUCGGUGUCUAUAUAUUCGUCGGGUUCGACGUCGUGUGCUUCUCCUGGAUGCUCUCCCGGCUCAUCCACCAGCAUCCCGUGAGCUACUAAGGCCUGAUGAAACUGGAUACCCGGCUGCUCCUCCUCAGGCUCCUCCUCCUCCUCUAGCCACCCGUUGUUUCCCUGAUUAGGGAAGUAGGGGUCUCCAGGGUGAUGAAAACCAGCCAUGCUGUCUGCGCGAGUACGUAAUUAUGCUACAUUAUUCCUAGGGUACUAUGACUAUUACACAGACUAAGCAAAUAUUCUCUUUUUGGGUGAUAUAGGGUAAAAUUUUUAGGUUCCCUGGCUAUUCCGAUCUCAUCAAGACAUGUGUUAGUUUUACCUUGGAGAGAAUGUAGUUGAUCAGGCUACAUUCACUCCUUGGUAUCACUAAGAACAGUCCCGAAUUAACCGAGAUACCAGUAUUAUGGUGUUUGAUUCAGCGUUAGGUCCUUACUCCUAAUGCAAGCAAGUGUAUUUUAUUCAUUUGUUUUGUUCAGAGUUAUGUUAGUCCCUCUUUUUGGUUUAUAGUUGCAUAUCAAUGUAUGGCUCGACAUGCUAGUUCACUAUAAACAAAGCUCUGAUACCAACCUGUCACACCCCCGAACCAGACGGCGGAAACGUCCGGGGGCUGUCGUGACUCAAUUGAAUACCAUAACAUUGAAUAUAUAUGAAACAAAACAACAUUCGUCACCAUUCAUCAACAUAAUACAACCAGUAGUGUUUACAUGUCAUACAUUGUUUGAGAUAUUACAUUUCCAAAAAUUAAUAUUGUUUGGUUCAUUCAAAAAUAAACUGCAACCGUCACUGAGCAUGAUUUCCCUUGACUCACUGGUUUCCUGAGAAUACAAGUAUUUUGAAAAACGUCAACAUAUGAAAUGUUGGUGAGUUCAUAAGUAGUGUUUGAAAUCGAAUGUUUAUAUUGUUUGAAAAACCACCAGAAAAUCCGAUAUUUUCUGAAAAGAAAAGCUUUCAAAAACGUUUGUGAAGAUCCAUAGGUAUGCUUGUUUGUUUCUAUACUUGCAAAAAUUGUUCAUUUAAGAUGUAUGCGUUUAAAAUCUGUAUGUGAUAAAAACCCUAGGGAAACCCGAUGUUCCCCUAGUUCUUUUGAAAUCCAUUGAGUUGCGUUGAAACCAUUAC